Molecule: long non-coding RNA, 362 nt
Organism: Patiria miniata (bat star)
Lineage: Eukaryota; Metazoa; Echinodermata; Asteroidea; Valvatida; Asterinidae
Exons: 5
Source: RefSeq, a predicted model, not a curated record
AGUAACUACAGAUUCAGCUGAUGAUACAACCCUUGAAUCAACAACACUUUCAACUACUGAAGAAGCAGCAACAUCAGUAACUACAGAUUCAGAAGAUGAUACAACUCUUGAAUCAACAACACUUUCAACUACUGAAGAAGCAUCCACGUCAGUGACACCAGAUUCAGCUGAUGAUACAACCCUUGAAUCAACAACACUUUCAACUACUGAAGAAGCAGCAACAUCAGUAACUACAGAUUCAGAAGAUGAUACAACUCUUGAAUCAACAACACUUUCAACUACUGAAGAAGCAUCCACGUCAGUGACACCAGAUUCAGCUGAUGAUACAACCCUUGAAUCAACAACACUUUUAACUACUGAAG